UACGUAGGGUGCAAGCGUUGUCCGGAAUUAUUGGGCGUAAAGAGCUCGUAGGCGGUUUGUCGCGUCUGCUGUGAAAUCCGGAGGCUCAACCUCCGGCCUGCAGUGGUACGGGCAGACUAGAGUGCGGUAGGGGAGAUUGGAAUUCCUGGUGUAGCGGUGGAAUGCGCAGAUAUCAGGAGGAACACCGAUGGCGAAGGCAGAUCUCUGGGCCGUAACUGACGCUGAGGAGCGAAAGCAUGGGGAGCGAACAGG
This 252-nucleotide ribosomal RNA is filed under the name uncultured bacterium. RNAcentral's name for it is "partial 16S ribosomal RNA". It matches the Rfam family "Bacterial small subunit ribosomal RNA", at positions 524 to 776 of the family's 1533-position model. The record is from RNAcentral.